This 151-nucleotide non-coding RNA is filed under the name Massilibacterium senegalense. RNAcentral's name for it is "glmS glucosamine-6-phosphate activated ribozyme". It matches the Rfam family "glmS glucosamine-6-phosphate activated ribozyme aptamer", at positions 12 to 158 of the family's 167-position model. From Rfam's summary of the family: This entry contains a glucosamine-6-phosphate activated ribozyme that is found in the mRNA for GlmS. GlmS is an enzyme that uses fructose-6-phosphate and glutamine to generate glucosamine-6-phosphate. The ribozyme catalyses self cleavage of the glmS mRNA that is thought to regulate GlmS activity. Lineage: Bacteria; Bacillati; Bacillota; Bacilli; Caryophanales; Bacillaceae. The record is from RNAcentral.
CGGAGCGCCAGAACUAUUACACGGACGGAAUAAGUAAUAGUGGACGAGGAGAAGGUUUAUCGAACAUUCGGCGGGUGCCUUCUAGUUGAUUAUCACAACUAUGAGCGACGUUAAAAACAAAAAGGUGACUUUUUGGACAAACAACGAAGCA